GACCUGAAAACACAUGAUGAUGUUUGGCAAACUGACAAGACUCACAAUUUAAAGUAGAUAUACUAGAAAACUGAGGAUAUAACUGUUUAAGUAGCGGAAGUGAUGGAUGACCCAAUCGACAGUGAAUAUCGAACGGACUGAGGGCACUGGAACAUGCAAUGGGUUUAGGCACCUGAGUAUCCAAUAUGUAUAGUCCUCCUGACUCAUGUCCUC
Molecule: long non-coding RNA, 213 nt
Filed under: Ricinus communis (castor bean)
Lineage: Eukaryota; Viridiplantae; Streptophyta; Magnoliopsida; Malpighiales; Euphorbiaceae
Description: long non-coding RNA (RCOM_LNC001185)
Source: RNAcentral